RNAcentral lists this transfer RNA (73 nucleotides) under Firmicutes bacterium CAG:460. It matches the Rfam family "tRNA". Rfam says of the family: Transfer RNA (tRNA) molecules are approximately 80 nucleotides in length. Their secondary structure includes four short double-helical elements and three loops (D, anti-codon, and T loops). Lineage: Bacteria; Bacillati; Bacillota. The record is from Rfam by way of RNAcentral.
GCUGAAAUAGCUCAGUUGGUAGAGCAAUGCCCUCGUAACGCAUAGGUCGUAAGUUCAAGCCUUACUUUCAGCA